RNAcentral lists this long non-coding RNA (225 nucleotides) under Panax ginseng (ginseng). RNAcentral describes it as "long non-coding RNA (PGIN_LNC005475)". Lineage: Eukaryota; Viridiplantae; Streptophyta; Magnoliopsida; Apiales; Araliaceae. The record is from RNAcentral.
UUUAUAUUAAUUGUUAAUUAGCUCCAUGUAUACAGUCUCUCCCUCUUUUUUCAUGAAUUAGAGGAAAUCUCAUUAUUUUAUUAAAUUAUUGUGCCAUGAGAUUUUAUAUAUGCUGAAAGAAUAAAUAUUAUUCUACUCAUUUAAUGAUAAAUUUGGUUACUCGAAUACGAAUAAAACUUUAGAAGCUACAGACAACACAAAAAUUAAGCUCACUUUUCAUUGAAC